RNAcentral lists this ribosomal RNA (700 nucleotides) under Cetobacterium somerae. RNAcentral's name for it is "bacterial SSU rRNA". It matches the Rfam family "Bacterial small subunit ribosomal RNA", at positions 50 to 768 of the family's 1533-position model. Lineage: Bacteria; Fusobacteriati; Fusobacteriota; Fusobacteriia; Fusobacteriales; Fusobacteriaceae. The record is from RNAcentral.
AACACAUGCAAGUCGAUUCGAUUUACCUUCGGGUAUUGAGGAUGGCGGACGGGUGAGUAACGCGUAAGGAACUUGCCUCUUGGUCUGGGACAACUGUUGGAAACGACAGCUAAUACCGGAUAUUAUGAGAUUCUCGCAUGGGAAACUUAUGAAAGCUAUAUGCGCCAAGAGAGAGCCUUGCGUUCCAUUAGCUAGUUGGUGGGGUAACGGCCCACCAAGGCGACGAUGGAUAGCCGGCCUGAGAGGGUGAACGGCCACAAGGGGACUGAGACACGGCCCUUACUCCUACGGGAGGCAGCAGUGGGGAAUAUUGGACAAUGGGCCACAAGCCUGAUCCAGCAAUUCUGUGUGCACGAUGAAGGUCUUCGGAUUGUAAAGUGCUUUCAGUUGGGAAGAAGAAAGUGACGGUACCAACAGAAGAAGCGACGGCUAAAUACGUGCCAGCAGCCGCGGUAAUACGUAUGUCGCAAGCGUUAUCCGGAUUUAUUGGGCGUAAAGCGCGUCUAGGCGGAAAAAUAAGUCUGAUGUUAAAAUGCGGGGCUCAACUCCGUAUUGCGUUGGAAACUGUUUUUCUAGAGUACUGGAGAGGUGGGCGGAACUACAAGUGUAGAGGUGAAAUUCGUAGAUAUUUGUAGGAAUGCCGAUGGAGAAGUCAGCUCACUGGACAGAUACUGACGCUAAAGCGCGAAAGCGUGGGGAG